CAACUUGUAGCUUAAUCAAAUCAUCUUGCUUACACCAAGAAAAUACCUGUUAAACCCAGGUCAAGUUGA
Molecule: transfer RNA, 69 nt
Filed under: Lyciasalamandra atifi
Lineage: Eukaryota; Metazoa; Chordata; Amphibia; Caudata; Salamandridae
Description: tRNA-Val
Source: RNAcentral